Molecule: ribosomal RNA, 300 nt
Filed under: uncultured Eubacteriales bacterium
Lineage: Bacteria; Bacillati; Bacillota; Clostridia; Eubacteriales
Description: bacterial SSU rRNA
Rfam family: Bacterial small subunit ribosomal RNA
Source: RNAcentral
CCUACGGGGGGCAGCAGUGGGGAAUAUUGGGCAAUGGGCGAAAGCCUGACCCAGCAACGCCGCGUGAAGGAAGAAGGUUUUCGGAUUGUAAACUUCUGUCCUCAGGGAAGAAGGAAGUGACGGUACCUGAGGAGGAAGCCCCGGCUAACUACGUGCCAGCAGCCGCGGUAAUACGUAGGGGGCGAGCGUUGUCCGGAAUGACUGGGCGUAAAGGGCGCGUAGACGGCUUUUUAAGUCUGGAGUGAAAGUCCUGCUUUCAAGGUGGGAAUUGCUUUGGAGACUGGGGAGCUUGAGUGCGGA